RNAcentral lists this long non-coding RNA (3475 nucleotides) under Androctonus crassicauda. The record is from RNAcentral. Lineage: Eukaryota; Metazoa; Arthropoda; Arachnida; Scorpiones; Buthidae.
AGGAUAAGUAAUUAUAAAGCAUAAAGUAAAGACGUUAUUGUUGAAAUUCUUGUUAGAAGAUCAGAUCAAUUCUAGCAAAUCUUCUCUUCGUAUUACUUUCUACUUAUUGAGAGUAGCUUGCACAUGUCAGCAAUUUCUUUGUCAAAAAAGUUUAUUCACCUGUUCUCUUUUGUCCAUUCAGUAUCGCAGACAUCCUGUUCUUGUUUCCUACACUCGAACUUUUAUUCAUUCAUUUCGCAGAAAGAUAAAUAUUGCUGAUUACCAUUAGAGUAUACGCUAAGAGAGUAGUAAUCGUCCAUGCAUAAAGCUAUUGUCUAAAUAAUCUGUUUUGUAAUGUGUCUGUUUGUAUGUAUUUUUUAGUGUUUUUUGGGAGUAUCUGUAUCUGUGUGUGUGAGUAAAUGUAUCGCUGCUUUGUGUGUUUGUGUGAAUCUUUAUCUCUGUACAGUAUUUGUGUAAAUGUGUUUGGUGCAUCUGUGUAUUUGUAUGUGUGCCAGUGUAUAUCUUGCUGUUUAUGUGUUUGUGCGAUUAUCUAUAUGCAUAAGACUGUUGUCUAAAUAAUCUGUUGUAUCUGUCUGUGUGUAUUUUUCUUAUUGCUUUUCAGAGUAUAUGUAUCUCGGUUUGUGUAUAUGGUCUGGUGUGUCUAUAUAUGCGUAGGUGUAUGUCUGCUUCUGUGUUUGUGAAUUUAUAUCUCUGUAUAGUAUUUGUAUAAUUUUUGCUUGGUGUAUCUGUGUGUGUGCUUGUGAGAGAGUUUUGUUUGUGUGUAUUUGUAUGUAUGCCAGUAUGUAACUCGCUGCUUAUGUAUUUGUGUGUUGUUUCUUUUUGGUCUGGUGUAUCUCUCUGUGCUUAUGAGAGAGUUUGUAUCUGUGUGUGUUUGUAUGUGCAGUGUGUAUCUCGUACUUGUGUGUUUGUAAUUAUCUAUUUCUGUUCGUAUUUGUUUGUGUUUGGUCUGGUGUAUGUGUGUGUAUAUACUUCUGAGGGAGUUCGUAUCUGUAUGUGUUAGUAUAUAUCUCGCUGCUUAUGUGUUUGUGUGAUAACCUAUAUACAUAAAGCUGUUGUCUAUAAUAGAUUUAUUCCUCAUUGAAUUCUCUACUGUUUUACUCAAAAUCGUGUUUUAAUACUAAAAAUCUUCCACAAUAUUAUAGAGUUUCUGUACGAAAGCAAACUGUGUUCCUUCCCACACGACUGCAACAUGUUUGAGUUUGAUUCGGGAGAGAAUUUUUGCGAUUUUUCUUCAUUUUUGCUGACGAUAUUGUAUGUGUACACAAGGAGAAUGUACACGAGUCUCAGUACUCUCUCCACCCUAUCGCACCUCUUUCAACUCGUAAAGAAUAAGGACAGUUGUAUUUAUUCGUAUACCUCGAGGCAUUAUUUCAAAAAUGUCAAAUAGAAUUAUACCCUACGUUUGUAUAACGUGUAAUUCGUUUAUUGUAUAAUUUUUAUAUCUAUAAUUUCGUAUUCUUCUACCGUAAAAACUCUCAACGUCGAUUUGAUUGAAACGUAAUUGAGAACGGUUGUCUCGUUUACCAACUGAUUGACGGUGCAUUGUAUGCGUUUAAUGUGUCUUUUAAUAAUGCCUCAUCCGUUUAUGCAAAUUGGCGACGAGUGAGAUGCCUGUUGAUUGUAAUGCCGUGCUCGUUCCAAAGUAGAUGGGCUAGCACAGAAGAGAAGGGGGGAAAAAUCAGAAAGGAAGAAGAAGAAGAAAGGAAAAAAAAAACCCUCCGUAAUCCCAUUGGAACCAUUUCUCUUGUUAUCAAAACUGGUUUGUUCCAAUUAUCGAUAGGAAAAGGAUGAAAAAAUCAAUAUAGGAUUUGAUAUACAUCAAAGACUUGUUUGUUACAAACCUUCUGAUCGCAGAAAGGCAUCAGUUUGACGUCAUAAAAUCUUGCAAAUUUAAUGAAAAAAUAUUAUAAUUGUGACAUCUGAAGGUGAUAAGAUGGAAGCAAAUACGAUUAUUCCCUCUUAUCUUCAAUAAUCUAGACUGAUAUACGAGUGACGAAAUAAGGAAAAUCCUAUCCACCAGUUUUAAUAUAUAUAUAGAAGUUUAUACGAUGAUUAGAGUUUAUCAGAGUCGUUAAGAGUGAUAAGUCUUUGCUUCCUUACUCAUCUGUAAUGCUUAACAGUUCGCAAAAAAAAAAAAAGAAACAGAAAUAAGAGAUAAGACCUUGGCCCGAGUUAGUUAGGCGAUUGUUUAUUUUAACGAGAAAUUAUCAAAGUAUCGACGAUUGAUCGAUCGUUUUAAAUAUCGAAAUAAGGAAUAACAGAAGAGUAAGGUCGAGUUUAUAGAAAAUUUCCAGGAUUUUACUUUACCUGUUGUAGGUACGAUGAUGAGUGUUUGUUUAUUACUGUUUACAACUUUUCUGGUUCCAUUAAGUAGUAGAGGUAUAUAAUUUGAGCAGAGUACUGUACUAUAUUUAAGCGUUAAAGCAGAACAUGCAUAUGAACAUUUACACUCAGUUUUAUUGGAAUAUGCGUUAAUGUUUGUGUGUUUUUCUUAAUGUUUGUUGGAGUAUCUUUAACUCUGUAUAUGUGAUCUGGUAUAUCUGUAUGCGCUUGUUAUGUGUCUCUGCUUGUGCGUUUGUACGUGUUUUUCUGUAUUGUUGUAUAUUUGUGUAAAUCUGUAUCUCUGAACAGUAUUUGUGUUUGGUUUGAUGUAUAUGAAUUGGGAGUUUGUAUAUCUGUGUUUUUGCGAGCGAGUUUAUAUAUCUGUGUCUUUGUAUGAUUAUGCUUGUGCGUUUGUGUGAUUAUUUAUAUCUGUUUGUAUAUUUAUUUGUGUGUAUGAGUGCGAUUCUCUGUGUAGUCUGAUGUAUGUAUGUGUGUGUUUAUAUACCUCUGAUUGUGUAUAUAAAGUAUUGUGUGUAUCUGUUUCAGUGUUUUUCUUAGUGAUUGUGAGAGAAUCUGUAUUUCUGUGUAUGUGAUCUGGUGUAUCUGUGUCCGCUUAAUAUAUGUCUCUGUUUAUGUGUUUGUAUGUCUGUAUCUCCGUUUGCGUGUUUUUUUCUGUAUGGUUGUAUAUUUAUGUAAAUCUGUAUUUCUGAACAGUAUUUGUAUUUGGUCUGGUGUAUGUAUAUGUGUUUUUGAGAGAGUUUAUCUGUGUGUUUGUGUGUCAGCAUAUAUCUCGCUGCCUGUGUGUUUGCGAAUGUGUGUGCGUGUGUGUGUAUGUGCGUGUGAUUCUCUAUGUGGUUUGAUGUAUGUAUAUAUAUUUGUGUAUCUCUGAUUAUUUAUAUAUAUAAGGCAGUGUGUGCAUCUGUUGUGUAUUUUGUAUGAGUAUCUGCUUCUUUGUGUUUGAUUCUCUGCAUAGUCUGUGGUUAUAUUUAUGUAUUUAUGCAUCACUAUUUGUGUUUGUGUUUUUUUUUUGUUUGUUGUUUUUGUAUUGUUCAUAGAAAACAGACAAUCAAUAGAAUAGAUAAGCUGCUCCUUUCCAUUCAGUAAGAGUACUAAGAAGGCAACUGUAGGUAGAUAAACUAAAAUCUUGCCCGAU